GGGGGCGAUAUGGGUUCGACGGGAAUGUUGAGCUUCAGGCCGCAUGCCGAGUAUGAGGGUGAUCUCGUUAAUCUUCCCCUUAAAAGCUUAAAUGCAAACUGUAAAAAAACAGCAGUUAACGCUAAAAAACCAGUUGCUACUAAACUAGCAGCUGCUGCUUAACUCUACUGAGCUUAGGAAGGUUCCAGUCCCGGCCUAAUCCUCAGUCGCUCUGACUGGCCAAAACACCUCGUGGCUUUACUGGGUGUGGCGGAAUUUUGUGAAGACCGCAAUGUGAAAGCUCUGGUUCUUUUGACCACACAUUGUUAAAUCGAAUAAAGAAACAAGCAUGUAGACUCCUGUUGGGAGAGUUUUCGGACGCGGGUUCAAGUCCCGCCGUCUCCACAA
Molecule: transfer-messenger RNA, 387 nt
Filed under: Gammaproteobacteria (g-proteobacteria)
Lineage: Bacteria; Pseudomonadati; Pseudomonadota
Also listed under: 1 other name
Description: LLD-282 sp016874315 Standard tmRNA
Rfam family: transfer-messenger RNA
About the family: Bacterial tmRNA, also known as 10Sa RNA or SsrA, is named for its dual tRNA and mRNA-like properties.
Source: RNAcentral